This 1426-nucleotide ribosomal RNA is filed under the name uncultured prokaryote. Its description in RNAcentral is "partial 16S ribosomal RNA". It matches the Rfam family "Bacterial small subunit ribosomal RNA". The record is from RNAcentral.
CCUGGCUCAGAACGAACGCUGGCGGCAGGCCUAACACAUGCAAGUCGAACGAACCUUUUAGGUGAGUGGCGCACGGGUGCGUAACACGUGGGAAUAUACCCUUCAGUGCGGAAUAACGUAGAGAAAUUUACGCUAAUACCGCAUAAUGACUCCGGUCCAAAGAUUUAUCGCUGAAGGAUUAGCCCGCGCCUGAUUAGGUAGUUGGUGAGGUAAGAGCUCCCCAAGCCGACGAUCAGUAGCUGGUUUGAGAGGAUGACCAGCCACACUGGAACUGAGACACGGUCCAGACUCCUACGGGAGGCAGCAGUGAGGAAUAUUGCACAAUGGAGGAAACUCUGAUGCAGCCAUGCCGCGUGAGUGAAGAAGGCCUUCGGGUUGUAAAACUCUUUCAGAGGUGAAGAUGAUGACGGUAACCUCAGAAGAAGCUCCGGCUAACUUCGUGCCAGCAGCCGCGGUAAUACGAGGGGAGCGAGCGUUGUUCGGAAUCACUGGGCUUAAAGCGUACGUAGGUGGAUGUUCAAGUCAGAAGUGAAAGCCCAGGGCUCAACCCUGGAAUUGCUUCUGAAACUGAAGAUCUAGAGUCCCGGAGAGGUUAGCAGAAUUCCUAGUGUAGAGGUGAAAUUCGCAGAUAUUAGGAGGAAUACCAGUGGCGAAGGCGCCUAACUGGACGGGAACUGACGCUGAGGUACGAAAGCGUGGGGAGCAAACAGGAUUAGAUACCCUGGUAGUCCACGCCGUAAACGAUGUAUGCUAGUUGUUGGAAUCCAUAGGGUUUCAGUGACGCAGCUAACGCGAUAAGCAUACCCUGGGGAGUACGAUCGCAAGAUUAAAACUCAAAGGAAUUGACGGGGACCCGCACAAGCGGUGGAGCAUGUUGUUUAAUUCGAAGCAACGCGAAGAACCUUACCUACACUUGACAUACUCGUCGGGAUUUCCAGAGAUGGAUUUCUUCGGUUCGGCCGGACGAGAUACAGGUGCUGCAUGGCUGUCGUCAGCUCGUGUCGUGAGAUGUUAGGUUAAGUCCUGCAACGAGCGCAACCCUUAUCGUAUGUUGCCAUCAUUAAGUUUGGGAACUCAUGCGAGACUGCCGGUGUUAAGCCGGAGGAAGGCGGGGACGACGUCAAGUCAUCAUGGCCCUUACGUGUAGGGCUACAAACGUGCUACAAUGGCUACUACAGUGGGCAGCAAACCGGCGACGGUGAGCGAAUCCCCAAAAGUAGUCUCAGUUCGGAUUGUUCUCUGCAACUCGAGAACAUGAAGUCGGAAUCGCUAGUAAUCGUGGAUCAGCAUGCCACGGUGAAUACGUUCCCGGGUCUUGUACACACCGCCCGUCACAUCAUGGGAGUUGAUUCUGCCCGAAGGCCGUGCGCUAACCAGUUUAGCAGCGGACCACGGUAGGAUCAGCGACUGGGGUGAAGUCGUAACA